This 109-nucleotide transfer RNA is filed under the name Coniochaeta pulveracea. RNAcentral's name for it is "tRNA-Thr". It matches the Rfam family "tRNA". From Rfam's summary of the family: Transfer RNA (tRNA) molecules are approximately 80 nucleotides in length. Their secondary structure includes four short double-helical elements and three loops (D, anti-codon, and T loops). Further hydrogen bonds mediate the characteristic L-shaped molecular structure. tRNAs have two regions of fundamental functional importance: the anti-codon, which is responsible for specific mRNA codon recognition, and the 3' end, to which the tRNAs corresponding amino acid is attached (by aminoacyl-tRNA synthetases). tRNAs cope with the degeneracy of the genetic code in two manners: having more than one tRNA (with a specific anti-codon) for a particular amino acid; and 'wobble' base-pairing, i.e. permitting non-standard base-pairing at the 3rd anti-codon position. The record is from RNAcentral. Lineage: Eukaryota; Fungi; Ascomycota; Sordariomycetes; Coniochaetales; Coniochaetaceae.
GCCCACUUGGCUCAGUGGUAGAGCGUGUCAACAGUGCCGUCCCUAAGAAAUAUCUCUAGAACAGUAUCUGUCAAUGGCAAGAUCCUCAGUUCAACUCUGAGAGUGGGUA